GACGAACGCUGGCGGCGUGCCUAAUACAUGCAAGUAGAACGCUGAAGAGAGGAGCUUGCUCUUCUUGGAUGGGUUGCGAACGGGUGAGUAACGCGUAGGUAACCUGCCUUGUAGCGGGGGAUAACUAUUGGAAACGAUAGCUAAUACCGCAUAACAAUGGAUGACACAUGUCAUUUAUUUGAAAGGGGCAAUUGUUCCACUACAAGAUGGACCUGCGUUGUAUUAGCUAGUAGGUGAGGUAAUGGCUCACCUAGGCGACGAUACAUAGCCGACCUGAGAGGGUGAUCGGCCACACUGGGACUGAGACACGGCCCAGACUCCUACGGGAGGCAGCAGUAGGGAAUCUUCGGCAAUGGGGGCAACCCUGACCGAGCAACGCCGCGUGAGUGAAGAAGGUUUUCGGAUCGUAAAGCUCUGUUGUAAGUCAAGAACGGGUGUGAGAGUGGAAAGUUCACACUGUGACGGUAGCUUACCAGAAAGGGACGGCUAACUACGUG
Molecule: ribosomal RNA, 497 nt
Filed under: uncultured bacterium
Lineage: Bacteria
Description: partial 16S ribosomal RNA
Rfam family: Bacterial small subunit ribosomal RNA
Source: RNAcentral